UUGUAGCACGAGAUGUUGGAUAGUUGGAGAAUCAAGGGUGUCUUGAAUUCGACUUGCCACUGUUGUUUCCGGUGAUAUCCAUGACAGCUCCAAACAAGUUUCAUCCCCACCUUCAUCUUAUGUCAUUUCCUACUGGUUUUUGUGCUGCUGUUUUGUUCUUCACCAUAUGACGGUGAUUGUUGCAUUGGCUCAGAUCUGCAGCUCGUAUUUGCGAGGAAUCCUAAUGUGGUCCGGCCUUCAUACUCCCGUUCAGAUGAGUUCUGCAGGCUAUAUGGUAGUGGUCUCAUCUGCAAUGAUUGAUGCAAACAGACAUGAUGUGAUUACUCUUCAUUCUGAUGAAGAGGUAGGAUCACCUUUGCCAUGUUGGGUGCCCUUGCAUGGCAGGUCACCAAAUCCUCAAUAAAAUUGUUUGUUGAUUGUGUGUUCUUGAGAAGAUUGCACGGGGCCUAUAUCCCUGGGUCUCCCCUGCUUCA
Molecule: unclassified non-coding RNA, 473 nt
Filed under: Hevea brasiliensis (rubber tree)
Lineage: Eukaryota; Viridiplantae; Streptophyta; Magnoliopsida; Malpighiales; Euphorbiaceae
Source: RNAcentral